Thalassophryne amazonica is the source of this 238-nucleotide long non-coding RNA. RefSeq lists it as uncharacterized. NCBI's taxonomy places the organism in Eukaryota, Metazoa, Chordata, Actinopteri, Batrachoidiformes, Batrachoididae. The record is from RefSeq and is a predicted model, not a curated record. The transcript has 3 exons.
GAAGAAACUAGUCAACGUGCUGGAUGCUGUUUUCAAGCCUGAAGUUCGCUGAUCCAGAGCAGUCUUUCUGCAAACAUGUCUGAAGUCCAGCAGCUGAGGGACAUGUUGAAACUACAGCAAACACCUGCUGAUGGAAUGAUCACAAACCAGGAAGAAGAAAAGUGUCAUUUAAAAGAAGAGAACAAAAGAUACAUGUAGCCGUUGUUGUUGAUGAUGAAAGAAGAAAUUCUCCCUGAAC